Molecule: ribosomal RNA, 491 nt
Filed under: uncultured bacterium
Lineage: Bacteria
Description: partial 16S ribosomal RNA
Rfam family: Bacterial small subunit ribosomal RNA
Source: RNAcentral
AGUGAACGCUGGCGGUAGGCCUAACACAUGCAAGUCGAACGGCAGCACAGUAAGAGCUUGCUCUUACGGGUGGCGAGUGGCGGACGGGUGAGGAAUACAUCGGAAUCUACUUUUUCGUGGGGGAUAACGUAGGGAAACUUACGCUAAUACCGCAUACGACCUACGGGUGAAAGCAGGGGAUCUUCGGACCUUGCGCGAUUGAAUGAGCCGAUGUCGGAUUAGCUAGUUGGCGGGGUAAAGGCCCACCAAGGCGACGAUCCGUAGCUGGUCUGAGAGGAUGAUCAGCCACACUGGAACUGAGACACGGUCCAGACUCCUACGGGAGGCAGCAGUGGGAAAUAUGGGACAAGGGGCGCAAGCCUGAUCCAGCCAUACCGCGUGGGUGAAGAAGGCCUUCGGGUGGUAAAGCCCUUUUGUUGGGAAAGAAAAGCAGCAGGUUAAUACCCCGCGGUUCUGACGGUACCCAAAGAAUAAGCACCGGCUAACUUCGU